UUUGGUUUGUCACGUGUGGUUGGCUGCGGCGUUUGCAACAACUUCCAUGCUUUCAGACCUCUUCAGUUGUGCGGCAAGGCUUGUAUCGCCUUGCCGUAUUGUGGGUUUUCUGUGUUGAAUACCUAAUCAAUGGUAUCGGUUGGAUUGAUCAAUGUUUNAUUUCGUCUGUNGUCGCAUUCGCGGCGUGAGANGAACCUUGAUGCGGUCUCUUUGGNCCACCUCGUCGAAGCACAUGCUUUGACGUUGUGGCACAUUGAGCAUUGCUUGGUCUCUUGUAUACGGAACAUAUAGUGGGCAUGGAUCUAACGAUUCUUAUUUGCCCUCAUGUUAGCGUAACGCUUCUCUUACACGACUUGCUCCACGUUUUAG
This 369-nucleotide unclassified non-coding RNA is filed under the name Artemisia kawakamii. RNAcentral describes it as "partial external transcribed spacer". The record is from RNAcentral. Lineage: Eukaryota; Viridiplantae; Streptophyta; Magnoliopsida; Asterales; Asteraceae.